RNAcentral lists this ribosomal RNA (360 nucleotides) under uncultured bacterium. Its description in RNAcentral is "bacterial SSU rRNA". It matches the Rfam family "Bacterial small subunit ribosomal RNA", at positions 70 to 422 of the family's 1533-position model. The record is from RNAcentral.
CUUUGGGAGCUUGCUCCCAAAGGUUAGCGGCGGACGGGUGAGUAACACGUGGGCAACCUGCCUAUAAGACUGGGAUAACUUCGGGAAACCGGAGCUAAUACCGGAUAAUUCUUUUCUACUCAUGUAGGAAAGCUGAAAGACGGUUUACGCUGUCACUUAUAGAUGGGCCCGCGGCGCAUUAGCUAGUUGGUGAGGUAACGGCUCACCAAGGCAACGAUGCGUAGCCGACCUGAGAGGGUGAUCGGCCACACUGGGACUGAGACACGGCCCAGACUCCUACGGGAGGCAGCAGUAGGGAAUCUUCCGCAAUGGACGAAAGUCUGACGGAGCAACGCCGCGUGAGUGAUGAAGGUUUUCGGA